Molecule: ribosomal RNA, 481 nt
Filed under: uncultured bacterium
Lineage: Bacteria
Description: partial 16S ribosomal RNA
Rfam family: Bacterial small subunit ribosomal RNA
Source: RNAcentral
GAUGAACGCUGGCGGCGUGCCUAACACAUGCAAGUCGAACGGAGAUUACGGACGGAAGUUUUCGGAUGGAAGCCUGUAAUUCUUAGUGGCGGACGGGUGAGUAACGCGUGGGCAACCUGCCCUAUACAGGGGGAUAGCAGCUGGAAACGGCUGGUAAGACCGCAUAAGUCGGUUAAAUCGCAUGAUUUGAUCGGGAAAUGAGCAAUCGGGUAUAGGAUGGGCGCGCGUCCGAUUAGCCAGAUGGCAGGGUAAAAGCCUACCAAAGCGACGAUCGGUAGCCGGACUGAGAGGUCGGACGGCCACAAUGGGGCUGAGGCACGGCCCAAACUCCUACGGGAGGCAGCAGUGGGGGAUAUUGCACAAUGGAGGAAACUCUAAUGCCGCGGCGCCGCGUGAGUGAAGAAGUAUUUCGGUAUGUAAAGCUCUAUCAGCAGGGAAGAUGAUGACGGUACCUGACUAAGAAGCCCCGGCUAACUACGUG